GAACCAUAUACAUCCCCCCCACCCCCCACCCCACCCCACCCCUCAAAAACACACAUAUAUGCGCAACAUGUAUCUAACUACAAUUUUUUUCUGGUGUUCCCAUUUCCAUCUCUCUCUCUCUCUGUAUAUAUAUAUAUAUAAACACACACACACACAUUACCGAACUCAUUUCUUCCCCAAAUUAAGAAGCCAAGUAAUUAACAUGAACGAGUGGCGAUCCGAUGAGAGAAAAUGGUGCUUUUUUCAUCCUACAGAAAUGGUGGUGGGAAUUUGUGCACUCUGCUUGAAAGAGAGGCUCUUGCCUUUAGCUGCACCCAAGAAAAACUCUCUAAAUCUUCACAAAACUACAAAGACAUCACCCUCUUCUUCUUCUCUCACUAAAAUCUUUGCUCUCACAACUUUGCUCAAUCGUCUCGAGAUUAAACAUCACAAAUCUUCUGCUCAAGAUCACUACUGUUGCCGCACCUCAUCAUCCAGUCAAGAUGAGUCAUUUAUAUCGAUGAAGUUUGAAGACAACGGCAUUGCCUCGUGGGAAAAGGAAAAAUGUUCUAAAAUAUAUCACGAUAAUCAAUGCGAGAUAUCGUAUGAUGAUAAGAAGAUAAAGAGUUUGGUGCUGGAGCAUGCAAAACCACGAGGGACGCUGAGGUGGCGAAGGCGGAUUGGCCACAUAUUCCAGCUCAUCAGAUUGAAGAGGUCCAACAAAGGCAAUAUGUGCCAUGUGGGCACAAAGCAUCGGAAGAGCAUAAGUCUAAAUACUAUUGACAAAAUGUAGAUGAAACAUCCUCAUCAUUGAGGUUAUAUUUACAUUUCGUUUAGGGCUGGUUUGGUUUUCAGUAAAGGAUUAUAUAUGAUAAUUUGUAAUCAGGAUAUUUAGUUUGGAUAAUGACAGAUUAUUAAUACUGAA
Molecule: long non-coding RNA, 904 nt
Organism: Salvia miltiorrhiza (redroot sage)
Lineage: Eukaryota; Viridiplantae; Streptophyta; Magnoliopsida; Lamiales; Lamiaceae
Exons: 2
Source: RefSeq, a predicted model, not a curated record